RNAcentral lists this long non-coding RNA (163 nucleotides) under Cricetulus griseus (Chinese hamster). RNAcentral's name for it is "lncRNA (ENSCGRG00000024346.1)". Lineage: Eukaryota; Metazoa; Chordata; Mammalia; Rodentia; Cricetidae. The record is from RNAcentral.
GGAGAAAGAGCCCUGAAGCCUGAAUAUAUAAGAUUGUCGGAGGAAGGACGCUAAAAACAACUCCAGGAAGUCCCAAGGAGCCAGAAAAAGAAGCCCAGGGUGAGGGUAUUAAAGGUGAGAGAAAUGUGGUUCUCUGAGGCCAGAAACUGAAAAAGAAUGUUUC